This is a long non-coding RNA of Actinia tenebrosa (Australian red waratah sea anemone), 977 nucleotides long. RefSeq lists it as uncharacterized. The record is from RefSeq and is a predicted model, not a curated record. NCBI's taxonomy places the organism in Eukaryota, Metazoa, Cnidaria, Anthozoa, Actiniaria, Actiniidae.
CUUUGACGAAGGUCUUGUAAAUACCAUAUUUCCUCUUCUUAUGUGUACCUUGUAAUAGGAUCACAUCUUGCAAAUUUGUGAAGGACGACCCCGACUAGGAGCUUAUUAGGGGGGGCAGCGCUUAGCGCUUAUUAGAGGCUUUUAGAGGCUGGAGCAUUGUUUAAUUUUUGGCGCCUCAGACUUGGGGUUAUUAAAAGGAGGGGUCAAGUCUUUGGAGGCUGGGGACUUAAUAGAGGCAAUACGAGUUUUUCCAGUUGUUCAAGAGUCUUACAACGUCGAAGAUUACUGCCAAGAAAUAUACGGUCCAUGAAUUCUUUGGAAAGUAUUUUGCAUCCAUCGACCUGGCAUAGGUUGCCUGCACUUGAGAUUAAAUUAUCGGAGAAAAACGAAAUCCCAGAUUCCUUGGUUAGAGUGUUUAUAGGAACCUCGAAUUCAUGCAGUUGACGAUCRUCGCUGAUUGGUUGAUUAGGGACGACGAAGGCGCCAAGAAGAGGAGGACUGUCUUUUCUGUCUGCUAAAAUGACCUUGAAUAAGUGGGUUGGUACAGCAACUUCGCUAUCACCGAUCACCUAAGAACAAGGCAUAUGUCGCUGAGCUUUCCCCCUUCAAUUUAAGUAAGAGAGGCRGGCAAAGAAGGAAAAGCAUUGAAGAGCAGAGACGGGACAAAGGGAAAGGAGAAGAGAAAGAGGGAGGAGAGGCAGGAGGCGAGGAUAGGAAAGAAGAAAAUACUGAAGAGAGAUAUAGAAGGGAAAGGAUUCUUAAAACAAAUUUAUACUGAGCUCUUACCUCAUAUUUCACUACUUUGCUACCAUUUUCCAAGUCGAAAGAUGGUAGAAAUAGAGGUCCUGAUAGAACAUACACAUCAGAAUAGCGYUUCGUAAGGCCUCGACAGUAACUUUCGAGUCGAAACCAAAAUUUAACRUUAUUGUUGGAGUUUUGAGGUACAAUAUUAGACAAGAGAAAUGAUUCAUUCAUGG